Molecule: ribosomal RNA, 254 nt
Filed under: uncultured bacterium
Lineage: Bacteria
Description: partial 16S ribosomal RNA
Rfam family: Bacterial small subunit ribosomal RNA
Source: RNAcentral
GAUUAUGGCUCAGGAUGAACGCUAGCGGCAGGCUUAACACAUGCAAGUCGAGGGGCAGCACGAGGUAGCAAUACUUUGGUGGCGACCGGCGCACGGGUGCGUAAAGCGUAUGCAACCUACCUUUAACAGGGGCGUAACACUGAGAAAUUGGUACUAAUUCCCCAUAACAUUCGAGAAGGCAUCUUCUUGGGUUAAAAACUCCGGUGGUUAAAGAUGGGCAUGCGUUGUAUUAGCUGGUUGGUGAGGUAACGGCU